AAUCAACGCUGGCGGCGUGCCUAACACAUGCAAGUCGAACGCGACUGGGGCUUCGGCCUCAGUUGAGUGGCGAACGGGUGAGUAACACGUGGGUGACCUACCUUCGAAUGGGGGAGUAACGUCCCGAAACGGGAACGCUAAUACCGCAUAACAUCCCGCCUUUGAACAGGCGGAGAUCAAAGCCGGGGAGUCGCAAGACCUGGCGUUUGAAGAGGGGCCCGGCGUCCGAUUAGCUAGUUGGUGAGGUAACGG
This 252-nucleotide ribosomal RNA is filed under the name uncultured bacterium. Its description in RNAcentral is "partial 16S ribosomal RNA". It matches the Rfam family "Bacterial small subunit ribosomal RNA", at positions 32 to 263 of the family's 1533-position model. The record is from RNAcentral.